Molecule: ribosomal RNA, 541 nt
Filed under: uncultured bacterium
Lineage: Bacteria
Description: bacterial SSU rRNA
Rfam family: Bacterial small subunit ribosomal RNA
Source: RNAcentral
UAAGGAAUAUUGGUCAAUGGACGCAAGUCUGAACCAGCCAUGCCGCGUGGAGGAUGAAGGUCCUCUGGAUUGUAAACUUCUUUUAUUUGGGAAGAAACCACCGAUUUCUAUUGGUGUUGACGGUACCAGAUGAAUAAGCACCGGCUAACUCCGUGCCAGCAGCCGCGGUAAUACGGAGGGUGCAAGCGUUAUCCGGAUUCACUGGGUUUAAAGGGUGCGUAGGCGGGUUGGUAAGUCCGUGGUGAAAUCUCCAAGCUUAACUUGGAAACUGCCGUGGAUACUAUCAAUCUUGAAUAUAGUGGAGGUGAGCGGAAUAUGUCAUGUAGCGGUGAAAUGCUUAGAUAUGACAUAGAACACCCAUUGCGAAGGCAGCUCGCUACACUAUUAUUGACGCUGAGGCACGAAAGCGUGGGGAUCAAACAGGAUUAGAUACCCUGGUAGUCCACGCCCUAAACGAUGAUUACUCGACAUCAGCGAUACACUGUUGGUGUCUGAGCGAAAGCAUUAAGUAAUCCACCUGGGAAGUACGACCGCAAGGUUG